CAGAGGGGGCAGUGCUGGUGGCACUCCCCAGGUGUCUUGGCAGCACUCUCUGUGCCCGAGCUGUCCCUUACCUCUGCCAUGCAUGGCUGAACGUGCUUUGGCAAGGUCAGCUGCCACCUGCUCCUCUGCAAUGAGGACCUGGCUUCCAGAUUUUUAAACAUAAGGGAGGUUGCAGUAAAGCUUACAAAGACUAUGCUUGGGGCGAGAGACAGAGGCUUUGUGUGUACCAAGGAAAUUUGGUGUAUGAAGAGAGUGGAGCUGGGCACAGGACUGAUACAACUUGCCAGCAAGUGAGUUCCUCCACAAUUUAGUCUUGGCUGUGUCUGCAGUGAGAAAGUACUACUUGGAACAUGAAGGAAUUUGAAAGAACACACAGAGGAAAACAAAAAAUCCAAGAUGUCAUUUUGCAUUUGAUUUCAAAAAGUGAAUUUAGCAGGUGAGAACAUGUUAAUAGCUAUAUGUUUUUGCUUUGACAGGGACA
Molecule: long non-coding RNA, 481 nt
Filed under: Serinus canaria (Common canary)
Lineage: Eukaryota; Metazoa; Chordata; Aves; Passeriformes; Fringillidae
Description: lncRNA (ENSSCAG00000000712.1)
Source: RNAcentral